GUUGGUGUCUAUGGCGAAGAGGUCCACCCGUUCCCAUCCCGAACACGGUAGUUAAGCUCUUUUGCGCCGACAAUACUUGGGUGGCGACGCCCCGGGAAGAUAGGUCGAUGCCAACA
RNAcentral lists this ribosomal RNA (116 nucleotides) under Oscillospiraceae bacterium. Lineage: Bacteria; Bacillati; Bacillota; Clostridia; Eubacteriales; Oscillospiraceae. The record is from RNAcentral.